Etheostoma spectabile (orangethroat darter) is the source of this 121-nucleotide long non-coding RNA. RefSeq lists it as uncharacterized. The record is from RefSeq and is a predicted model, not a curated record. The transcript has 3 exons. Lineage: Eukaryota; Metazoa; Chordata; Actinopteri; Perciformes; Percidae.
UUUACACAAUGACACAUUCCCGAUCCGACUCCUACCAAACAAGCGAUUGCGCCUGCUUUAGAAAGUUAACUUGUCGUAAAUUUGCGGUAAAAUGCAGUUGGGUUGUCGAGGUCAAAAGACU